UUGACGCUGGCGGCAGGCCUACACAUGCAAGUCCAGCGGAUGAAGGGAGCUUGCUCUCUGAUUCAGCGGCGGACGGGUGAGUAAUGCCUAGGAAUCUGCCUGGUAGUGGGGGACAACGUUUCGAAAGGAACGCUAAUACCGCAUACGUCCUACGGGAGAAAGCAGGGGACCUUCGGGCCUUGCGCUAUCAGAUGAGCCUAGGUCGGAUUACCUAGUUGGUGGGGUAAUGGCUCACCAAGGCGACGAUCCGUAACUGGUCUGAGAGGAUGAUCAGUCACACUGGAACUGAGACACGGUCCAGACUCCUACGGGAGGCAGCAGUGGGGAAUAUUGGACAAUGGGCGAAAGCCUGAUCCAGCCAUGCCGCGUGUGUGAAGAAGGUCUUCGGAUUGUAAAGCACUUUAAGUUGGGAGGAAGGGCAGUAAGUUAAUACCUUGCUGUUUUGACGUUACCGACAGAAUAAGCACCGGCUAACUUCGUGCCAGCAGCCGCGGUAAUACGAAGGGUGCAAGCGUUAAUCGGAAUUACUGGGCGUAAAGCGCGCGUAGGUGGUUUGUUAAGUUGGAUGUGAAAGCCCCGGGCUCAACCUGGGAACUGCAUCCAAAACUGGCAAGCUAGAGUAUGGCAGAUGGUGGUGGAAUUUCCUGUGUAGCGGUGAAAUGCGUAGAUAUAAGAAGGAACACCAGUGGCGAAAGCGACCACCUGGGCUAAUACUGCCC
This 719-nucleotide ribosomal RNA is filed under the name Stutzerimonas stutzeri. RNAcentral's name for it is "bacterial SSU rRNA". It matches the Rfam family "Bacterial small subunit ribosomal RNA", at positions 30 to 745 of the family's 1533-position model. The record is from RNAcentral. Lineage: Bacteria; Pseudomonadati; Pseudomonadota; Gammaproteobacteria; Pseudomonadales; Pseudomonadaceae.